Molecule: ribosomal RNA, 498 nt
Filed under: uncultured bacterium
Lineage: Bacteria
Description: partial 16S ribosomal RNA
Rfam family: Bacterial small subunit ribosomal RNA
Source: RNAcentral
AUUGAACGCUGGCGGCAUGCCUUACACAUGCAAGUCGAACGGUAACAGGUCUUCGGAUGCUGACGAGUGGCGAACGGGUGAGUAAUACAUCGGAACGUGCCCAAUCGUGGGGGAUAACGCAGCGAAAGCUGUGCUAAUACCGCAUAAGAUCUACGGAUGAAAGCGGGGGAUCGCAAGACCUCGCGCGAAUGGAGCGGCCGAUGGCAGAUUAGGUAGUUGGCGGGGUAAAAGCCCACCAAGCCGACGAUCUGUAGCUGGUCUGAGAGGACGACCAGCCACACUGGGACUGAGACACGGCCCAGACUCCUACGGGAGGCAGCAGUGGGGAAUUUUGGACAAUGGGCGAAAGCCUGAUCCAGCCAUGCCGCGUGCAGGAUGAAGGCCUUCGGGUUGUAAACUGCUUUUGUACGGAACGAAAAGGUUUGGGCUAAUAAGCUGAGCUCAUGACGGUACCGUAAGAAUAAGCACCGGCUAACUACGUGCCAGCAGCCGCCGUAA